UAGUUUGGACUUGGCAGUUAAUCAGUUGGGGAAUCUGGGGAAGAUACUUUGGGGAAGUCUUCCUGCCUUCAAGGACCAUCCUAUUAUCUGAGGGGAGCAAAUAAUUCUAUUUCAAGCCCACCAGGAAAGGUGAUUCCAUAGACAUAUGAAAUCAUAGGGCGUAAGAACAAAAAAGAAACCUAGAACAUAGAAUGUAAGAACUGGAAGGUAGGCAGCACACAAUAUGAAAAAGAAUAGAGAAUGUUAGAGGGGGAAGGUUCAUUAGAGAUCAUCUUAUAGAGGAGGAAACUAAGGCUCAGCAAAGUCGAGACUUGCUCAAAGAAAUGCAGGCACAAAAAGAAAAUCAAUCUAGUCUUCGUGAGGAACUUAUUCUAAUCUCUGGAUACUGUCUGCAACUGAACCUGGGGACUUUCUUUUCCCCUCAUCCUCCCCCAAACUACAAGCUUGAAAAAAGUGAAAUACCACUGAACAGAGGAAGAGGCAAGAAGGUUAAAUCAAGCAGGGCUUGUUUGCAGAGUGAUGGAGGUAAAAAAUAAUAAUAAUAAACAUUGUUUUAUAAUCUUUUGAGGUUUACAAAAUGCUUUAAACAACCCUGUGGGGUUGGUAGUACAAAUAUUAUUUUUCCCAUUUAACAGAUUAGACAACUGUGAGGUAAAAGAGGUGAAAUGAUCCCAGGGUUUCAGUGCCAGUUAAGUAUAAAGGCCUGAGUUGGGUUUACACAGAACCAAUUAGCAGGGAGUUUAGCUCUCUUGAGAAUGAAAGUUUUUUGCUUUGACAGCUGCCAGGAACCGCUCUGGAAGCUACCCAAAUAUGGCCCAAAGCCCACGCUAAAAGAUGCUUCCAUCACCUUGCAUCCCUCAAGCCUGAAAGAGCACUUUGGUGAUUUCUGGUCUCGUUCCAGGUACCAACAUCUUCCAAUGAGUAUGAUCCUUUGAUAAUACAUAUAUAAUCCAGAUCAAAUUGCUUACCAUCUCCGGGAGAGAGGAAGGAAAGUAGGGAAGGAGAAAAUUUGGAUCUUAUAAAUUUUGGAAAACAUUUUGAAAAUUGUUAUUACAUGUAAUUGGGAAAAUAAAAAAAUAUUUUAAAAAUGAUGCUCUAAGGGCAAACUUCCAGGAGGCUUAUCACCUCAAAGUGCCAAGUCAGUGGCCAUAUGAAGGGAAAGGUUUAUUAAGAAAUGUAUGAGUUAAAAUCAGAUUGGAAACAGUUCUGUCCAUAGAUAUUUUUCCCCAUUCCUCCUGCUAACUCCCUGUAUCCUACACAUACACUUAAAUCUGUCUGAAAUCUGUCUUAGCACAGAGCUUGGCACAUAGUUGGUGCUCAAUAAAUAAGAUUAAUCAAUUUAUUGCCUAGUUACAUCAUGCUUCUAUUUACUCUCCCAAUUUUUGCAGAUCUGGAAUCUGGUGAGUUGUCCAAGGUCAUAGAGAUAGAGAAAGAGCCAGGAUCAAAACUUAGGUUCUUUGACUUUGAGCCCAAAUACUCUUACCAUGCUGCCUUAAGGCAAGGUCUGGUUUAUAUGCUGCUUCUUCCAUGAGGCCUACCCAGAUUCCUCACAAAGAAUAGUGGGGAAAAUUUUGGGCAAGUAAGAAAAAAGCAAUUGAGGUGAGGGAUAAGAAGAUAGUCUCACUCUAGAAGAGGAAAUGGAAGAGUUCCAUUAAAGAAUAAUGCCAUAAGGGGCAGCUAGGUAGAUCAAUGGAUAGAAAGUCAGGCUUACAGACAGGAAGUCCUGGGUUCAAAUCUGGCCUCAGACACUUUCUAGUUGUGUGAUCCUGGGCAAGUCACUUAGCUCUAAUUGCCUAACUUGUGCCACUCUUCUGCCUUGGAACCAAUACUAUCUUCUCUAAACAAAUAUUGUAAUUCACAGGAUUGUAUCUUACCCUAGGAGGAGAUCAUGUGCCUUCCUGAAGGCAAUCAGGAUGUAGGGAACAAAGAUCAAACCAAAGGGUAGAUAAUCUGGCCUUAGAAGCAGUGAGAAUAAGGGAUCAAACUGGGCCUCAGGAUACAAAGCUAUCUUUACCAUUUAGCAUGGCUUCCUUCAUAAACUUAUAUUUUUAGGAAUGAAGUAUGGCAGAAAAAGAUUCUCCAAAAACAAAAAAUAAGAUAUAUACACACACACACAUAUAUAUAUCUUCAUGUAAGGGAAGCUGAAGCAAAAACUAGAAAUACAGUAAUACAGAAAUGGGAGACAGUGGAAAGUGCUUAAAUUUGCUACCCUAGAUACACAAUUUUUCCUAAGGGCCAUAAAUAAAAUAAAGAAGUUAAUUAUAGGUAAUAUAUUCCAUGAAUGGGAGUUCAGAAUAGACUAGUAAGGGACAGACGUUAGGAGAGCAAAAUAAAUGAAAACUUUGAUUUGUCCAAAAUCACAAAGAGAGUAGGACAAUAAAUCCCCACCAAAUCAUUAGCAUUUUUGUGUAACAAUAACAUCCAAGAAGAAAUGAUAAAAAGAGCUCCAUUAAGAAAAACCCAACAAUUAUAACAUGUAUGAUGACAGAGAAUUGAAGGGUAAUAAUACAGACACAAAACAUACCAAUGGUGAUGGCAUGGAAGGGCUGAUGAGAAACACUCUGAAUCAGGUCCCAAAGACAGGGAUAUAUGGAUAGAGAGUAUGGAAGGUCAUGACCCAAAGGGAUUGUGGUUAUGAAGGCAGGUGGGAAGGUUGGAGAUGGCAGCUCUUAGGAACAUAUUACUGGCCAUGAAUACCCUUGUUAUUAACUUUUUCAACCCAAAGUGAAAUUUAGGAGGUCCUUAUUCAUCUACCACAAUUUCUGAACAAUCUAUAUCAGUGAAGGUGAACCUAUGGAACGGGUGCCAAAAAUGGCACACAGAAUGCUUUACUAGAAAGGCAGAGGGACUUGGGUGGAGCUGUUCCUCUCCCCCUCUCCACUGAGUCUGAUGACAUUUUUUCACAUUCUCACUCUUCUGUCCAGCAGCCCAAUGGGAGUGCACAGGCAGCAGAGCUGGAGGGGAGCAGAGUGUUCAGGUCACUCUCUUCAUUUGUGCUAAGGACAUUCCUCACUUUACCCACCCCUCCACUCAGCAGCCCAAUGGGAGUGCUUCCUCCUUGCCCUAUGUGGGGUAAGGGGGUGGUUGUGCCUAGCACUUGAUUGGGAGGAGGGGAACAGCAUAAGGUCUCUGAGGGUGGCGCAGUUUUGGGGGUGAGGUCAGGGUAGGGCCUGGCACUCUGUCUCUAAAAGGUUCACUAUCACUGAUCUAUAUCAACAGUUAGCCACUGUCCAUUCAUUCUCAACACCUCUCCAGCCCCUUCCAAACCCAGGCAUCCACCCUUUUUUCUGCUGGAUCAAUCUCAGCAAAAGAUCUGUGCCCCCUGGAAGCUACUGGAGAUCCUUCUCCUUCCUCAUUGGUUCCAUAUGCUAGAGAUCCUGUCCCUUCUUCCCUUUGCUUUUCCCACUUUAGAAAUGUUCCUCAAAUGUUCAGAGGGGCCCCUGAGGGAGACAGGCAGGGAAAAAGAUAGGAGACUUCUUCAAUAAAUGAGCUCCUUAUAUUUCUUGAUAUAAUUUUAAUAGUAUUAUUAGUACAGUUUUGUACCUCCCUUUCCCAUUGGGGCUGGUUGCCUUGGUUGCUCAACAAACACAUUUAGGUCCAGCUCUAGCAUAUAUCACUUAAAAAAAAAAAAUCCUUACCUUCCAUCUUAGAAUCAGUAUUGGUUCCAGGACAGAAGAGGAGUAAGGGCUAGACAGUGGGGGUAAGUGACUUGUCUAGGGUCACACAGCUAGGAAGUGUCUGAGGCCACAUUAGAACCCAGGACCUCUUAGUCUCUAGGCCUGGAUUUCAAUCCACUGAGCCACCUCACUGCCCCCACAUAUAUCAUCACUUCUUAAGUUAUCUCCUCAACAGCGACUAUGCUAACCAAAGGGCUUAAAUCUUUAAACCCUGGAACUUAUUCCCCAGUGUCUGGGUAGAUGAUUGCCUCAGUCUCCUACUCUAUCUAGGCCUAGCUCUAGUUAUGCUUCACUUCCCUCUUCCUGGUUAUUUUCUCAAUUGCUGCCACACCUUCAUGAGUAUCCUCCUCUCUCCCACCCUCCAAGGAUUCAGUAGAAAGAGGAUCAAAUAAAUUCUCUCGGUUGGUCCUGGAAAGAGUUAAGGCUACUACCUUGUGACUCUACUCAUCAUCCCUAUAAUUUUCCAAAACAAAAUUCCCCUCCAUGGCUACCACUGUCCUCUAUAUGUUGUCUUCUGUAAAUUCCUUGAGAGCAGGGCCUGUCUUUAUAUCCUUAGAGCUUGGCACAUAGCAAACAUUUUGUUCAUUCAUUUACUCUGGGUAAAACAAUGUUGGGGGCUAAAUUAGGAAACUAAUUACGAUGCAUCAUACUGUGUUUUAUGAGAUAUUUUCUACAUUCCAAACAACCAAUGUAUAAAUAUUUCUAAUUCAAUCAAUGUAUAAUUUUCAAUUAUAGAAUCAGAACCUGGGCUGGAAAGGAUUUUAGAAAUCAAUUAGUACAACCGAAACUAAAGCUUAGAGAUGAAUCCCUUCUAGAAGGGGUUGUGCACCUUCCCCUUGAAGUCUUAUAGUGAUGGGGCACCCACUACUUCCUUGAGAUGACCAUCCAUUUCACUUUUGGCCAGCUCUAAGUUGUAAGGAUGCUUCUCCUCCCCGAAACAAAAUCUACCUCUUAACUUCCACUCAUUGUUCUUAGUUUUGCCUUUUGGUACGAACUAAAAAUCCUUUACAUGAUAGCUCUUUAUACAUUUGAAUACAGCUCUUGUGUCUUGACUAAGUCCUUUCUUUUCAAGGCUAAAUGGCACCACUCCCUUCAUUCAAUCCUCAUAGGGCACAAUCUUCAGUCCAUUAGUCAUCCUGGGUAUCCUCCUGUACCUCCGCCUCUAGUUGUCCUCAUUGAGGACUAGUCAAUGUCCUUCCCACUGUGGCAUUCAGAUCUGAGCACAGAUGUGAUCUGACUGGGGGAAAAAGCCUCAAGACUAACAUCACCUCCUCCUACAUCCUAGACAUUCUGCCUCCCUCAAUGUGAUCCAAGGUCAAGUUUGCCUCUUUACGUUGCUAUAAUACACUGAUAACUCAAAGAUAUAUAGCAACAUUUUAUAUCUUCCUUCCCACAUUUCUAGACAUCAAGCUAACUCAAUCCCUUAUAUUAAUAGUGUUCUCAUUUGCUGUUUGCAUCUGGUAUUUUCCAGAGAGGUUGCAUAUAUUCAAGAAAAUGGUCUUUUGGUAGGCUGAGUCAUUUUUUCCCCAUUGACAUAUACAGUGUCUCCAAAGUCUUAGCAUAGUUUUAAGCUUUAAAUAGCUUAAAAUAUUGAUAGCUAAAAGCUGAAGCCUUUAAUAGUUUAAACACUACACAAAGACUUUUGGGACACAUUAUACAAUACUCUCUAAGAUGUUUUUCAUUUUCCAAUGAAUGAAUUUUCAAUUGUCAGCAAUCUCUAAUGCUAUCCACUUAAGUUCUUUAGGUUUUGAACCUUUGCUUACUUAUUAAAACUUCUUUGGGUGAAUCCUGAGGCAGCUAGGUGGUACAGUAGAUAGAAUGUUGGUCUUAGCUUUAGGAAGAUCUGAGUUCAAAUUCUGCCUCAAACAAGCAAAUAAAAUCCUUACCUUCCCUUAGAAUCAAUAUUGGUAUUGGUUCUAAGGCAGAAAAGCUUUAGGCAAUGGGGUUAAGUGACUUGCCCAGGGUUACACAGCUAAGAAGUCUCUGAGGCCAUAUUUGAACCCAGGACCUCCUAUCUCUAGGCCUGGCUCUCAAUCCAUUGAGUCACCCAGCUGCCCUCCAAACAAUUGUUAACUGUGUAAUCCUGGACAAGUCACAAAUACUCCCUCAGCCAUAGUUUCCUUUUCUAUAAAAUGGAUAUAAUAGAGGGAAGCUGAGUGGUUCAGUGGAUUGGGAGGCAAGCCUAGAGACUGGAGGUCAUGGGUUCAAAUCUGACCUCAGACACUUCCCAGCUGUGUGACCCUGGCAAGUCGCUUCACCCCCAUUGCCUAGCCCUUACCGCUCUUCUGCAGUGAAACCAAUACAUAGUAUUGAUUCUGGGAGAUGAUAAAAGCACAUACCUCAUAGAGCUUUUAUGAGGACCAAAUGAGACAGAGUAUAGAAAGCAUUUAAAAAGUCUUAAAGACUUUUAUUUCAAUUUUCAAUGCUAUUUCAAUGCUAGCUACUCCUAGCUAUUAGAUGAAAAGAUUUUCUGGUCAUUCAAACAUCCCCUUGAUUUCUCAGUUUUGUAAAUCUGCAUUUUCAGAUAUUGUAUGUCUGAAAAACUGAGCUGACCUGUACUUUUUUUCUGGCCAUAGCACUCCUUGUAUCUUCCUUGGCUCAGCAAGUCAUCACAAGCUCUUGAGUCAGUCUUGUGAACUUGGUUCCAAAGUCUUUGUAUUACCUUCUUCUCAGGAGCCAUAACUACGGCUGAUUUCUGGUCCUGAAUCUUUGUCCUACCUGUGGGUGAUCUCCUAUGUUUCCUCUAUUAAGAUGUGGGUCCUUUCAUCCACCUAUCUGACCGCUUGAAAGUAUAGAGUUUGGAUCUGAGUCAAUGACUCCCUAUCUUUAAGUCCCAAAGGCUUGGAGCCAUUUCCCAAAAGGAUUUCUAAAAGCCUCUAAAACUGCCAGUAUCUUUUCUAAGAAGACAGAAGUGUGCUGGAAUGUGGAAUUCUGGGUUUCCAUCCCGGAUGCCCAUCUAAUGAGCUUGGUGACUCAUGGCGAGAGCAGCUUCAGUUUUCAGGAGUGUCAGUUGUCUUUCUGUUAAUUAAUUAAGGGGAUCAGUGACUGGCUAGGUCAGAUCCAAUACUGAGGACACAGCCUGGUAGAAUAAUAAUAGGUCACACUCAUAGUAGUUGAGGUUUACAAAAUAUUUUCCCAACAACCUCGUGAGGGAGGGAGGAUCAGUAUUAUUCCCUACAUUUUACAGAUGAGUUCAUUUUGAAGUUCAGGGAGGUUGAGUAAUUUGCCUUAGGUCACACAGCAAAUUAAUAUCAAAGCUGGAAUCCCAGCUCAGGUUCUCAUGACCCAAAGUGUAGCAUUCUUUCCACAACAGCAUGCUACCUGAUUAACAUGAUUAUAACAUAGUGAGCGAUUAAAGGGAUUAGAAUGGGGCCCAACUCAUAUCUAUGCCCCAAGUACAAUUCAAAUUAUAAUAAUAUAACCAUAAUAGUCUAAUAUAUAUGACAGCCUUUAAGUUUUGGUUCCCAUUUCUCCACUCUGCUGCAUCAUCCUCAUUAGUGAGUGCUUUUAUUGGUGUGGAGAAUUCUUAGUGUGAAAACUCCUUCCAUUGAUAGAUAAAUAACUUACUGUCUUAAAAGACUGACCGGAAACAUUGAAAGGUUAAGCAACUUGCCUAUAUUCAUAUUGCUCAAAUACAUCAGAGGCAGAGUUUAAACUCAAGUUUUUUCUUAUUCCAAAGCCAGAUCCUCUCUCCAGUCCUUCCAGUAGCCUAAUAUACGGCGAAUACCCCAGCCAGAUGUCUAUUUCUCCUUUAUAUACAGACACACUUUACUACCAAAUUAGGGAUGAGAGGAUGAGGGCGAUUUUUAAUUUUUCUUUUUAAAUUACUUGAUGCUUUCACUUCUUCUUUCUCCUAAGACAAUGCCUAUUUCUUGGUAUUUUAUGUUUUGAGUUUUCUCAUUAUUCUGAUUGUUCUUGUUUGGAUCACACUUCUAAAACACAGCAUUCAAAGCUUAAUGAAAUUAUCCCAGAAGUCACUCUUUCAUCUAUCCAAAAAUCUUCAGUGAUUCCCUACUGCUUAAUGAUUACAUUAGAAAAUCUGUUUCUCAUUUACUAAUUACAAUUUUAUUUGGUUUGAACCAUGCACUUUUUUA
Molecule: long non-coding RNA, 7771 nt
Organism: Monodelphis domestica (gray short-tailed opossum)
Lineage: Eukaryota; Metazoa; Chordata; Mammalia; Didelphimorphia; Didelphidae
Source: RefSeq, a predicted model, not a curated record